UUUGAAGGAUCAUGUUCGGACAGUCUUUCAGAGAGUCAUCGAAAAGGCGAUGUAGAGGAAGGUGUCGGAUGCCUCCUAAAGAAGUAUGAGAGCUUUGUAGCUCUCGAAGUGUGCAAGUGGGUCGGUGGAGCCAUCGUAUGACUCCAUAUACAGCAUCUUGAGCCGACUCAGAAUCGAUUCAUCGAGAAUUCAUCACGAGAAGGGUGGAUGGGUGCUGAUGCUGAGC
This 226-nucleotide long non-coding RNA is filed under the name Elaeis guineensis (African oil palm). Its description in RNAcentral is "long non-coding RNA (EGUI_LNC001189)". The record is from RNAcentral. Lineage: Eukaryota; Viridiplantae; Streptophyta; Magnoliopsida; Arecales; Arecaceae.